This 337-nucleotide unclassified non-coding RNA is filed under the name soil metagenome. RNAcentral describes it as "partial contains 5.8S ribosomal RNA, internal transcribed spacer 2, and large subunit ribosomal RNA". The stretch from base 1 to 120 matches the Rfam family "5.8S ribosomal RNA", at positions 35 to 154 of the family's 154-position model. The record is from RNAcentral.
GAUGAAGAACGCAGCGAAAUGCGAUAAGUAGUGUGAAUUGCAGAAUUCAGUGAAUCAUCGAAUCUUUGAACGCACAUUGCGCCCCUUGGUAUUCCAUGGGGCAUGCCUGUUCGAGCGUCAUUUGUACCUUCAAGCCUUGCUUGGUGUUGGGUGUUUGUCUCGCCUCUGCGCGCAGACUCGCCUCAAAACAAUUGGCAGCCGGCGUAUUGAUUUCGGAGCGCAGUACAUCUCGCGCUUUGCACUCAGAACGACGACGUCCAAAAGUACAUUUUUACACUCUUGACCUCGGAUCAGGUGGGGAUACCCGCUGAACUUAAGCAUAUCAAUAAGCGGAGGA